AGCUGCCAUGGAAAAACCGAAUUAAUUCAGCUACUUCUCAAGCUGAAUGGAAACAAUCAAUAUAAUAGCUAUAAGAUUAGUUAUUUGUCCUGGGCAUUCAUCUCUUUGUUUAAGUGGAAAGGUACAUUUUACAGGUGCAAAUGACUUUACUGUGAUUUAUGAUUUUUUUAAAGCUUUUAUUGUUAUAUUUUUCUAUUAACUUGAUUUAAUCAAUGGGAUUAAAUCAUAAUGAAGAAUAAUAUGUAAAUUUCAAAUUUUAAAUUUAAGCUUCAGCCAACAAUAAUAAUCCAUAAGACAUAUAAUUAUAGUUCCAUGAAGUUUUAUGACGUGGGGACAUGGGAUGGGUUUUGGAGAUGGAGACCAAAGGUUUAAAUUUGGAGAUAGCGAGGGGACAGCAGCAGAGCAACAGUGGGGGUUGGUGCUUAUAUAUAAAUUGAGCAAGCGACACGAUGGAGUUGGCAGAGGUGGUGGUGUUGUGGAGGGAUGUUUCUCCAAGAUUCCAAGCUUUGGAAACAUUUUCAUAUAAGAGAUGUGGGUUUUUUUGGGGGCGGACUUGUCCCUGUGGAAUAGUGCGUAUAAUUUGCUUUAAAUACUCGUACAAAUAUGUUAGUGUUUUAGUGUAUUGUUUUUGCUUAAAAUAAAUUGGAAUUUUGAAAGGGUCCAGAUCCUUACACCAACUCAAUACAAAUUAAUGAUGGGACAAUUCAAUAUCCAACAAACGUUCAAUCCAAAGUCAAAGUAAUUUGAAAUCAAAUUAUUCCAAAAAUCUUUACUUAACC
Cryptomeria japonica (Japanese cedar) is the source of this 779-nucleotide long non-coding RNA. RefSeq lists it as uncharacterized. The record is from RefSeq and is a predicted model, not a curated record. NCBI's taxonomy places the organism in Eukaryota, Viridiplantae, Streptophyta, Pinopsida, Cupressales, Cupressaceae. The transcript has 2 exons.